AUACGGAGGGUGCAAGCGUUGUUCGGAUUUACUGGGCGUAAAGCGCGCGCAGGCGGGCUAGCAAGUCAGAUGUGAAAUCCCGGGGCUCAACCUCGGAACUGCGUCUGAAACUGUUAGUCUAGAGUCUCAUAGGGGGUAGGGGAAUUUCACGUGUAGGGGUAAAAUCCGUAGAGAUGUGAAGGAACACCUGUGGCGAAGGCGCCUACCUGGAUGAGUACUGACGCUGAGGCGCGAAAGCGUGGGGAGCAAACAGGAUUAGAUACCCUGGUAGUCCACGCCGUAAACGAUGAGUACUAGUUAUUGGAGGUAUUGACCCCUUCAGUGACGCAGCUAACGCAUUAAGUACUCCGCCUGGGAAGUACGGUCGCAAGACUAAA
Molecule: ribosomal RNA, 377 nt
Filed under: uncultured Bacteriovoracaceae bacterium
Lineage: Bacteria; Pseudomonadati; Bdellovibrionota; Bacteriovoracia; Bacteriovoracales; Bacteriovoracaceae
Description: bacterial SSU rRNA
Rfam family: Bacterial small subunit ribosomal RNA
Source: RNAcentral